This 73-nucleotide transfer RNA is filed under the name Candidatus Aenigmatarchaeota archaeon. Its description in RNAcentral is "tRNA-Val". It matches the Rfam family "tRNA". From Rfam's summary of the family: Transfer RNA (tRNA) molecules are approximately 80 nucleotides in length. Their secondary structure includes four short double-helical elements and three loops (D, anti-codon, and T loops). The record is from RNAcentral. Lineage: Archaea; Nanobdellati; Candidatus Aenigmatarchaeota.
UGGCCCGUAGCUCAGCGGUGAGAGCGCCUGCCCCACGCGCAGGAUGUCCUGGGUUCAAGUCCCAGCGGGCCGA